Molecule: long non-coding RNA, 3040 nt
Organism: Drosophila ananassae
Lineage: Eukaryota; Metazoa; Arthropoda; Insecta; Diptera; Drosophilidae
Exons: 3
Source: RefSeq, a predicted model, not a curated record
CUCGCCACUCGCCACUUGCCACUUCACCCACUUUUGGUUUAAAGUUCCCGCCGCUUCUUCCAGUCUCCUCAACUCGACUAGCCGCCCUUCAUUCCGCGUAAUUCCUUUGCUCAUUUGGAGCAGGCGGCCUUUUUUUCCAACUCCUGCUCCUGCUGCUGCUGCUGCUUCUGCUCCUGGCCCUACUAAUGAGCCACUGAUGGUCAUGACCUGACCCUGUCCACUGUCCACUGUCCGCUGUCCCCCUCGCUUUCAGGGGCAAGAGGCAAUUACUUAAUCAUUUGCCUAACGACCGAAAGGCAGGCAAAGCAGCAACAACACCAGAAAUUAGCAAAAAUUAAGUGAGUAAGUGAGUUAAAAUAAAUUGAGGAUACGGAAUGGGACAGGCCAGGACUUCGUCAUGUCCUGGCUCCAGUUCAUCCCCCAACCACCCCCGAAAAGUACAAAAAAAAGGAGACAUUGCGGUGAAUGUGGUGCAGUGGCACGUUCUGUGGUUUCUAUUUUUUAAUUUUCCAAACAUCUUUGUAAGAAAACAUCUAGGCAGAAGUAUCUUGGAUUAUUUUCCUUUAAAUCUAAGACAUUAUUUCAAGAGUUUUGUGGUUUCUUUCUUUUCUAAUUCAUUUUAAAGUUGUAAAGUUACUUGGGAAAACUAGAAAGCCAGCCUAGCUAGUUUUUGCAUUUAAAUUAUGGGUUUUCAUGAAGAACAAUCCAUUUUAAAAAAUUAUAAUUAUUAAGCAUCGAUUUUGAAUGCAAUUACUAUUUUAAUUAUUUGUAAAGUUGCCUAAGUACACCCCUUGAGAAGCGAGUAGAAGAGCUCUGUGAUUUGGAAUUAAUACUGUUGGAAUUUGGUAUUAGAAGUAAUUCUAGCUUUUAGUAUUAUUUUAGUACAAGAAUAUAUUAUAAAGAGUAGUAUUAUUUUGGUAUUAUGAAUGCUAAGUAGGAACUAAGUAGAGCUCUAGUAGUUGUAGGAAUAAACCUCUAAUAGGUAGUAUAUUUGGGAAUAUAUUAUUUAAAUCUGUUUCUUAAUUUUGCUUCCAUCUCGGAGGUAAACCUUGUGAGAAGCGCGGAGAAGGGUGCUGGUAUUUACACAAUAGUAUUACAUUUCAUAAAACAAAAAUGGAAACAAAGUUGCCCUUAAAUGAUUUAUUUCAAUCUGGAGGAGACUUUAGAGAAAAGCUGUUGCUAUGUUUGUAUAUUUUGCUGACUUCUUGGCCUUGUUCUUAGAACGAGUGAGUGUGUUGUUAUUGUUCUUGAGAUGCUCUCGAGGGAGUAUCCGGUAUCUGCAUGUGCACGUCUGCAUCUGCAUCUGCAUCUACAAGAUACCCAGGCAGUUGGGUGUGUGUAUCUUACGGAUUUCUUCAGCUCUAGACUCUCGGUCCCGGGCCCAGGACCAGGACCAGGCUCAGGCCCAGGCUCAGGCCCAGGCAAGCAUAUAAAUCUAUUAUCCUUUAAUUUAGCCACAGAAAUAAUGAAGCAUGUAAGAGUCUUUUGUGUAUCUUUUGUGUGUGUGUGUGUGUGUCAGAGGGGGCGUGGCACACUUACACACACCCACAUAAAUUCAAUCAACGGCAAUUUGCUGGCAGAGUUGCUGCAAAGGCGUCGCCAUCCGCAAAUAUGUGCAAUUUAUUUAUUGUUGCCACACAGGACACCCAGUAGAUGCUGUUGUUUUUAGUUUUAAAAUAUAGUUGCCUAAUUUCUUAUUAUUAUUUAGAGAAGUUUUUGAAGGAAAGGACUAUAAUGGCAAUCUGUUUGAUGGAAAAGACUUCAAGACCUUGAAGAUAGAUAUUUCUUGAAUCUCUCGGACUUUGUGGAGCGAUGUCCUAUAUCUUAUUCCAUGAAUAGUAUUGUAUAGAACCCCCUGCCUCUCCUAGGGUAUCUGGAAUUCUUCUCCAACUCCUUGCAAGCCUUCUUGACUCUGCCUGUUGUUGUAUCUGCAAAUUGAAUUUUCGUUUUGCAUUUUGUGCGAUUUUCGGCAAUUCAUUAAAAUCUCCUGUACCCCACCCCCCACAACCCAGUUGCUGUUGCACUUGCUGCUCCACAAAAUGCAAAUUUUCGGAGCAAAUUCGGAAAAGCUUUUUGGGGAAAAAAGCGAAAUAGAAGCAAAGACACAAAGCAGCGCCCAAUUGGCAACACAAUGUGGCCCGGAAGGAGUGCCAGAAGAGCAUCCUGUGCAUCCUGCAGCCUGCGUCCUGGGAGUGCAAAAUGUGAAUUUUGAAUUCAUCGAGUGGUUUCAUCGAGUGAAACGAUUAACUUCUCGAUUCGAUGGCAAAUCGCAUCAAAGGGAAUUAUCCUGGCCGGACCGAUUGAUUUACUGGCGCCCCCGCCCCCCCUGGAAAAUAUCCUGGGGAAAGCGCAGUGGCAAAAAGGACUAUGCUAUGAUUUAUGGAAAGGCAACAGUAGAGGGAUGAGAAUUUUUUUGUGGCGGAGGAGGAGGUAACUUUUCGCGCCUUCUCGAAAAACUGUCCUCCGUGACGUCAGACUUGGCAUGCAGAAGGGACACUGUCGACCAUCAAGGAGAUUCGAGGAAGGACCUAAGGACCAAGGACUAAGGACCUAAGGGCCGGCCACAGAGCGAAAGGGACUGAAAAGGGAGCAGUGCGGCUGAUUAAAAUGCGUUGCAGGAGCAUAAAAAGCAUUGAGUUGCAUUUGCAUUUAUAUUGUUUUGACCCCGGCAUUAUUAUCAUUUCUUUUCCGCCACCAUCUCUUCCCGCUCCGGCACUUUGUGGACACGUAGCCGGGCCUUCAGCUCCACUUUCCAGGGCCCAGGGCCCAGGGCCCAGCUGGCUGUCCUCCUGGCUGAUCCUUGAUUAUGCCCCCGGCAUUAAGCCAACUUUUGAAAGCUCAAAGCCCGCCCGGCCGCCGUAUUUUAUGUCGUGGUUGGACGGAGGAUGUCCAGAAUAAUGGCCACAAUCUGGAGGACAGGGCGAUAAUGCCCGGAACUAAACGAGUCAGCAGAUGAUUAGGCUCCUUGGCGGAGUCAGACUGUGGAGCAUCACAUCACCUUUUCGACACUCCAGCCAGUCCAAUUUGCAACCAAGAUGAA